RNAcentral lists this ribosomal RNA (449 nucleotides) under uncultured bacterium. RNAcentral describes it as "bacterial SSU rRNA". It matches the Rfam family "Bacterial small subunit ribosomal RNA", at positions 355 to 796 of the family's 1533-position model. The record is from RNAcentral.
UGGGGAAUUUUGCGCAAUGGGCGAAAGCCUGACGCAGCAACGCCGCGUGGAGGAUGAAGGUCUUUGGAUUGUAAACUCCUGUCAGCGGGGAAAAAGCGACGCGACCUCAUACGUCGUGGAGUUGAUUGUACCCGCAGAGGAAGCCCCGGCUAACUCUGUGCCAGCAGCCGCGGUAAUACAGAGGGGGCAAGCGUUAUUCGGAAUUAUUGGGCGUAAAGGGCGCGUAGGCGGCCCUUCAAGUGACGGGUGAAAGCCCUCGGCUUAACCGAGGAACUGCCUGUCAGACUGGAGGGCUUGAGACCGGGAGAGGUGAGUGGAAUUCCCAGUGUAGCGGUGAAAUGCGUAGAUAUUGGGAGGAACACCAGUGGCGAAGGCGGCUCACUGGACCGGAACUGACGCUGAGGCGCGAAAGCGUGGGGAGCAAACAGGAUUAGAUACCCCCGUAGUCC